Long non-coding RNA from Melanotaenia boesemani (Boeseman's rainbowfish), 96 nucleotides. RefSeq lists it as uncharacterized. The transcript is spliced from 3 exons. The record is from RefSeq and is a predicted model, not a curated record. NCBI's taxonomy places the organism in Eukaryota, Metazoa, Chordata, Actinopteri, Atheriniformes, Melanotaeniidae.
AAAAGAAAGAAAUCUAAUUAACAAAAGGUGUCCUCAAUUGAGGUUACAAUUAACAAUAAUUAACAAUUGCAAAAUAAACAGACUUUACAUUUAUAU